Molecule: unclassified non-coding RNA, 169 nt
Filed under: soil metagenome
Description: partial contains 5.8S ribosomal RNA, internal transcribed spacer 2, and large subunit ribosomal RNA
Source: RNAcentral
AAGACUAUAGACCUGCGGAGUACCUGCGGAGGGAUCAUUAGUGAACGCCCUCACGGGCUUAUAACUAUUCCAAACCUCUGUGAACCGCGCCCUUCGGGGCUAUUUUACAAACAUGGUGUAAUGAACGUCAUAUAUCAUAACAAAACAAAACUUUCAACAACGGAUCUCU